This is a non-coding RNA of Paramuricea clavata, 250 nucleotides long. NCBI's taxonomy places the organism in Eukaryota, Metazoa, Cnidaria, Anthozoa, Malacalcyonacea, Plexauridae. The record is from the annotation of a GenBank genome assembly.
AACAAGUUUGGAACAAGCUGUUAACAUUAACUUGUAACAACCUUGUUGAUAUCAGACUUGUUGAAAGGUUGUUCCAACAAGUCCGAUAGAGUCAUGAUACAACAAUAGUGUUAGAACCUUGUGUCGUCAACCUUGUAACGUUCUUGUUAUUAUCAUGACUGUAUCAAACUUGUUAGAACAACCUUGUAACAAGUUUGAUGUCAUCAAGCUUGUUACAAUUAAGUUGUUAACAGCUUGUUCCAAACUUGUG